Molecule: ribosomal RNA, 362 nt
Filed under: uncultured bacterium
Lineage: Bacteria
Description: bacterial SSU rRNA
Rfam family: Bacterial small subunit ribosomal RNA
Source: RNAcentral
UGCUAAUACCGCAUAAUAUCUUCUUCCGCAUGGAAGAAGAUUGAAAGACGGCUCUGCUGUCACUUAUAGGAUGACCUUGCGGUGCAUUAGUUAGUUGGUGGGGUAAUGACCUACCAAGACGAUGAUGCAUAGCCGACCUGAGAGGGUGAUCGGCCACAUCGGGACUGAGACACGGCCCAAACUCCUACGGGAGGCAGCAGUAGGGAAUCUUCCGCAAUGGGCGAAAGCCUGACGGAGCAAUGCCGCGUGAGUGAAGAAGGCCUUCGGGUCGUUAAAACUCUGUUAUAAGAGAAGAACAAAUUGUAGAGUUAACUGCUACAGUCUUGACGGUAUCUUAUCAGAAAGCCACGGCUAACUACGUG